RNAcentral lists this long non-coding RNA (1514 nucleotides) under Triticum aestivum (bread wheat). Its description in RNAcentral is "long non-coding RNA (TAES_LNC025541)". The record is from RNAcentral. Lineage: Eukaryota; Viridiplantae; Streptophyta; Magnoliopsida; Poales; Poaceae.
CCGUCACCUGCAUCACCACCGAACAGCCCGCGUGUCGUUCUUCCCCAAGUCCGGCGGUCUUCUCCUGUUUCUCCGGUGAGCAACCCUCACCCGUCCGAUCUACUUUAAACGGUCAGGAUUAGAUCAGUUUCUUUCUAUUUAAAGCCAAACUGGUAUGCACUAAUUACCCGCUGUCCGUUAGUUAGCCACCACAGCGAAUUCCGUCCACCGAAUCCCGUGCUGCCACGUGGCCCUGCUACAGGACCAGGAGUUUCCGGUCGUUCUUUUUUUUUUUUUUGAUUUACACCUAACACUUCAAAUGGGUAUAUCCUUUAUUCCAUAACUUCAAUUUAGGUGAUUCUUUUUUCCUAUGCAUUCACAAAAACCAACACUUUAUCACAGUACCAAAGUUUCACGUGUUUGCACUAUUUAAAUUUGAAUUGCUCAAAAUUGAAUGCAAACUUCCGGAGGCCAUAUCUUUCAAACCGUUGAUCCAAAUUAGUUGAUUCUUUUUGCAUUGUGUUCCUACUAGCAUGUAGAUAAGAUAUACUUAUUGAUAUGUUCUGUUAUUUAAAUUUUAUUUGGAUUCAUUGCUGUUGACUUUAUUUUGGUGUUAUGUGAGUACGGUUUAUUUAUCGGUGCCUUCGUUAUGGUAUAGAUUGUCCGGAGUGUGAAGCGGAUCAGAAUUAAGCAUUAGAGUACUUCAACAUCGUUCAAGGCAAGUUUGCACUUUAAUUUUGCUCAUCCUAUAUUCUACUAUGCAAGUGUGGUUUUAUGUUAUGUUAUAUGUUUGGCUUGAUAUGUGUAUUCUGUGUUACCAUGUUUUGUUGUUGAUUGUGGUAUGUGAUGGUGUGAUCAACUUGCUAUGGUAGACGCGGGCAUGUGUUGAGUGAUCCAUGAAAGUGGUGAUUGUUUAUAGCCAUAGGCUCGGGAUCAUUAACCAGGUGAAUGUGUCACUGGCAGAGCGCUCUAUUGUCCCUAGAGAAUGCGCCAUUGACAGAGCUCACUUGAGGCGAGGUAUAGUUUUCAGAAUGUAAAUCAGGUGAAUGUGUCCUUGGUAGAGCGCUCUAUUGCUCCUAGAGAAUGUGCCACUGACAGAGCGCACUUGAGAGAUACUUCUGAAGUUCUUGUCAUGUUUAUUUAGAAUCUUUGGGUUAUCUUGGGUGAGUAAAUUAGAGACGGUUGUGAGUUCAAGUAGUGGAGGUAGGUGAAGUUCUUCUCCAAACUAACUUGUGUGUUUUGUUUGUCAUACAUUGCUUUGUGGAUGUAGGUUUGCUAUAUCAUAUUGUGCGAUUUGCCAAUACAUUCAAUGUAUUGACCCUUUGUGGCUGCAACUUAUCAUGUUGCAGGAUUUUCAAAUGAUCGGUGAGAUACAGUAGGGUCGCGAGUCUUCACUCAACAUUUUCGCCAAUGGGCAUUGAUGGGAUUCAUCGUUUGCUUAUGCUACAUUUUCGCUGUUAGUAUUGAAUAAAGUUAGCUAUGUGCUACUCAGUUUGUAAUACUUUAUGAAUUCUGGAUCAUACGUUAUAGUAAAU